AUUGGGCGUAAGCGCGCGCAGGUGGUUUCUUAAGUCUGAUGUGAAAGCCCACGGCUCAACCGUGGAGGGUCAUUGGAAACUGGGAGACUUGAGUGCAGAAGAGGAAAGUGGAAUUCCAUGUGUAGCGGUGAAAUGCGUAGAGAUAUGGAGGAACACCAGUGGCGAAGGCGACUUUCUGGUCUGUAACUGACACUGAGGCGCGAAAGCGUGGGGAGCAAACAGGAUUAGAUACCCUGGUAGUCCACGCCGUAAACGAUGAGUGCUAAGUGUUAGAGGGUUUCCUCCCUUUACUGCUGACGUUAACGCAUUACCCACU
This 316-nucleotide ribosomal RNA is filed under the name Bacillus cereus. RNAcentral's name for it is "bacterial SSU rRNA". It matches the Rfam family "Bacterial small subunit ribosomal RNA", at positions 553 to 868 of the family's 1533-position model. Lineage: Bacteria; Bacillati; Bacillota; Bacilli; Caryophanales; Bacillaceae. The record is from RNAcentral.